UGGGGAAUAUUGCACAAUGGGCGCAAGCCUGAUGCAGCCAUGCCGCGUGUAUGAAGAAGGCCUUCGGGUUGUAAAGUACUUUCAGCGAGGAGGAAGGCGUUGUGGUUAAUAACCGCAACGAUUGACGUUACUCGCAGAAGAAGCACCGGCUAACUCCGUGCCAGCAGCCGCGGUAAUACGGAGGGUGCAAGCGUUAAUCGGAAUUACUGGGCGUAAAGCGCACGCAGGCGGUCUUUCAAGUCGGAUGUGAAAUCCCCGGGCUCAACCUGGGAACUGCAUCCGAAACUGGCAGGCUAGAGUCUUGUAGAGGGGGGUAGAAUUCCAGGUGUAGCGGUGAAAUGCGUAGAGAUCUGGAGGAAUACCGGUGGCGAAGGCGGCCCCCUGGACAAAGACUGACGCUCAGGUGCGAAAGCGUGGGGAGCAAACA
RNAcentral lists this ribosomal RNA (427 nucleotides) under uncultured bacterium. RNAcentral describes it as "partial 16S ribosomal RNA". It matches the Rfam family "Bacterial small subunit ribosomal RNA", at positions 355 to 774 of the family's 1533-position model. The record is from RNAcentral.